ACUGCGCGAUGCACUGCUACCGCUUCGGAAACAUCGGCAAGCCGGUCGCGCCCGGCGCGGAUAAUGCGGCGUGGUUCGACUAUCUCGGCCUGCAAUCCACCGGCCACGGUCCGCAGGAGCCGAUCGAGAUUUCAUUCGUGAAAGACGAAGCUGUGAACAAGGGCCUCGAGAAUUGGACGACCGGCAAGGAGGAACUUUACAACAAUAUCCAGAUAACGACCGGCAAGCCGCUGGCCCGCGGCAAGCAGAUCGUGAAGAACAAGAAGAAGCAACCGGACGGCACCGAGACGGUCGAGGAGAAAGCCGUCGAAACCGUGGUCAACUGGACUAACCUCUACCAGGGCAAGACGCGCGUCUGGAGCACGACGAUCGGCCACAAUAAUUUCACUGUGGAGGAUUCGCGCUAUCUCGACAUGGUUGCGCGCGGAGUGUUGUGGGCCGCGGGCAAACUGAAGGACGACGGCACGCCGGCGGCGGGAUACGGGCCCGGCGGGAAAUGACGAGCUGAACGCCGACGCACACUUAGGCCGCUAUGGCCCGCCAGAAGCAGAGUUAGCGCAGCCCGUUAGAAUAUCCCCGAACUCGGCGGCGUCGGCGCCACGGGAACGCCCUUGGCUUUCGCGGUGAGCGCAAUCUGAAAGUCCUGGAGCAUCUGCACGAUUCCCGGGCCUCGCUCGAGCACAGUCUUCGCCAGUUUCUCGUAGUGUGCCGGAUUGCGCUGCGAGAGCUCGGAGAGCGCGAGGAUCACAGCGAGGCUGUUAUUGAUGUCGUGCUUUACGAUGCGGUAUUUCUCGAGCACCUCCUCGAGUUCGGCGCGGGUGAUUUCGGGUGGGGCGUCUGUCAUACAAUUACCUCUUGGAGACCAGUUGCAGGAUGUGCUUUCCUUGGCGGUUUGAACCCUUGCGGGAAAUGGCAGCCUCAGCAAUCAAAAUCACCGGCGCGCGCCAGCACAAUCUCCGAAACCUGACGUUGGAGAUUCCUCGCGAGAAGUUGGUCGUAAUCACUGGAUUGAGUGGGUCUGGUAAAUCGUCCCUGGCCUUUGAUACGCUCUACGCGGAGGGCCAGCGGCGCUAUGUGGAAAGUCUGUCCGCCUAUGCAAGGCAAUUUCUGGACCAGAUGCAGAAACCGGACGUGGAUUUUAUUGAAGGGCUCUCGCCGGCUAUCGCGAUCGAGCAGCGCAGCUCGGGCGGCAGCCCGCGCUCGACUAUCGCGACGACGACGGAGAUUUACGACUACCUGCGGCUGCUCUUUUCCUCUGUGGGACAACCUCACGACCCGCAGACGGGCGCGGCGAUCAGCAAGCUCUCGCCGCAGCAAAUCGUCGAUCGCAUUGUGGCGUAUCCGCCCGAGAGCCGCAUCGUGAUUCUUGCGCCGCUGGUGCAGAAGGAAGUCGGCGAGUUUCGCGACGUAAUUGAGAAACUGAAGCGCGAAGGCUUCGUCCGCGUGCGUAUCGAUGGCGAGAUCAUCGAACUCGGCCGGCCUGAGCCGAUCCGCCUGACGAAGGACGCGAAGCACGACAUCGAGGUCGUGAUCGAUCGGCUCGUCAUCCGCGACGGCGUGCGCACCCGGCUGGCCGAUUCCGUGGACACCGCGCUGAAAUGGGGUGGCAAUAGGCUGGUGGUUCUGCGUUCUGACUCUUCGUCUGUUUCUUCAUCUUCAUCCUCUCCCGCUAAAGACGAAACGAAGAUGAAGACGCAGACGAAGAGUGAUCCCGCGUGGGAGACGCUGCGCUACUCGACCGAUUACAGCAACCCCGACACCGGCUUUACCCUCCCGCAGCUCACGCCGAAACACUUUUCCUUCAACAGCCAUCUUGGCGCCUGCCCGGCCUGUCACGGGCUGGGCACCGAGCUCGUUUGCGACGCGGACCUGAUGAUUCCCGACAAAGACAAAUCGCUCGCCGAGGGCGCAGUCGCGCCGUGGGCCAAGGCGAACAAGCGGAUGCAGAGCUACUACAAGGGCGUGCUCACCUCGCUGGCGAAGGAGUUCAAAGUCUCGCUCGAUACGCCGUAUCGCGACCUGCCUG
This 2026-nucleotide unclassified non-coding RNA is filed under the name uncultured fungus. RNAcentral's name for it is "sequence contains 18S rRNA gene, ITS1, 5.8S rRNA gene, ITS2, 28S rRNA gene". The record is from RNAcentral. Lineage: Eukaryota; Fungi.